This 2179-nucleotide long non-coding RNA is filed under the name Portunus trituberculatus (swimming crab). RNAcentral describes it as "uncharacterized LOC123505906". Lineage: Eukaryota; Metazoa; Arthropoda; Malacostraca; Decapoda; Portunidae. The record is from RNAcentral.
UCUUCAAUGACACCCAACUCUUCCACUCUUCUACACUGAACAUGCCAGAUGUAUUCUUUACUAUUAACGUUAACUAUGAAGUUAUGCCUUUUUGAACCAUCUCAACUCCAAGCUGCUAUCUCUAUACAUACAAAGACUUAUCUGCCAAAGUUCAGAGUAUAAAUACUUCACAUAUAGAGGGGUACCACUGUAUUGCUCUCUUAAACAGAGUGGAGUUAGUAAAAGCAUUUCAUUUCAUCAACACUUUUCUUCUAACUGAUGUCUUCAGCCUCCAUCUCCCACUCCCUCAGUCUCUCUCUCUCUCUCUCUCUUUCUCUCUCUCUCUCUCUCUCUCUCUCUCUCUCUCUCUCUCUCUCUCUCUCUCUCUCUCUCUCUCUCAGCAUGGCAGUGUCAUUAUCCUUGAUUGCCCAUCAACAUUCAAACAGAAAUGCAUAACAAGCAAUUUAUUUAUUUAUUUUUUUAUUUAUUUAAUUAAUUUAUUUAUCUUUUUAUUUUUUUCACCAAUGUUAUGGCCUAUAGCAUCUGUAGGCAUAUUUAAAGAGUAUAUGUGGGAAGCGCUGUUCAGCUUCCGCCCAUUAGUGGCACAUGCAAUUUUAUUUAUAGCGGUACCCAUAUUAGAGCCCAUAUCACCAUCCAAUUGUAUCUUUGGUUUAACCACUUAGAAUCUGAGUAUCAUGGUGACAUGUAGGUAACUUUAAACCACUCGACAAAUGGUGUAGCUUUAAAGCGGUAUGUGGUGGGAUUCAUACCUACACGUGGAUGUCUGCCCAAACCCACGAUCACCACCUUAUCCACUACACCACUGCCUCACACCGACAGGCUGCAGGUCCAACCAGCCCAGGACCCCAUUUCACUACGAGUGUCACCCCGGAUGAUCCCACAGCCAAGUAGUCAUGGUUAUCCACCUUAUCAUAAGUUUUGUAAAUUGUAGACCAACAAAAUGAGUUACAAUGGUAUCUAGCAUGCAGUAAUAGAUAAACACAAGCUUUUUUGGCUUGUUUAUCAUGUCAUAUAUAUUCAUUUGUGUGGCCAGGUGGGAACUAUGGAUUUGUAGAAAAAAAAAAAAAAUGCCAUUACAGUCCCCCCAAAAUUGGUUAGUCUCUGACUGGUACUUUACUGAGCAAAAUCCGUUACCAAGAGGUCUGUUAUUGCAAGGCACCAAUAUAUAUAUAUAUAUAUAUAUAUAUAUAUAUAUAUAUAUAUAUAUAUAUAUAUAUAUAUAUAUAUAUAUAUGUGUGUGUGUGUGUGUGUGUAUACACUAUGUAAGAUGGAUUCAUCUUUCAUAUUUCACCUUCAUGGUCUCUCUACAACAGUAUAUGUGUGUGACAAGUAAGAAAAUUCCUUUUAUACCAACCAAACUUGCAAUUUUUGUAAUUGAUACAUGAGAGAAAACUAAAUCAUUCACACCAACUAACUCUGAAUUUGCUGUUGUUAGUUUACAUUGUUUCUUAUGAGAUUUAAAUCAAGGAUGAACAAUAUGGAUAAAUCCAAGUAAUUUAACUCCUUCAAUGCUGUUAAAGUAUGAAUGACUUAAUUAUCCUCAUCCCACUGGCUUGCUUUCCUGCAGUGGCUCUAUUGAAUGUCAAGAUCCUUCUUUACAUUUUUCAGGGGAAGAAAAGAUAUGAUCACAGAUUGAACCGUGGGCUUGUUGCUUCACCUGAAUGUCAGGUACCUCCAAAUAGAAUUCUGCACAUGCACACACACUGUACCAUCUUCAGACAGCCACUAGACACUGAUUUCUAGCAAGCAGGUGCUUUUUUCUACAGCUGCUUGAGAACACUAGAUUCCUGGGUACUGGUUAUCUGACAGUUUUAAUAUAUAUAUAUAUAUAUAUAUAUAUAUAUAUAUAUAUAUAUAUAUAUAUAUAUAUAUAUAUAUAUAUAUAUAUAUAUAUAAUUUAUUAUGAAUAUUGACUCAAAAACAUUUCUUAAUUAGAAUUCAUUCCUCCAUAGUUUUGGCAUUUAGAUGUGGUCUUACGUGAAGCAUGUCAUGAUCUAGAAGAAAAGAGUAAAUAUCACUCACUGUGCCAGCAUAUUGUUUUUUUCUGAUUUGUUCAGAGUAUUCUGACUGUUGCAGUAAUCUGAGUUAUCUUAUGUAUAUAGUAUACUAACUUGUGACUCUUAAUGUUCACUAAAAUGCUGAUAACAGUGUCUUAUUUUUUAGUAAAACUGUUGUUUUA